GAUCCGAUGUUUUGGCGUGUGCGCGCACGCAGUCUCGCGUGCUCGCGUGCAAGGUGUCUGCCGGCCUCAUCCCGUUGAACAAUUCACCUUCCUGGAUUCGUGAACUCCGGUUCGCGACGAAACCGCAAAAGAAGGAAUUGGGACAACAAACAAAGCCACGAUGAUCCUGGAAAAAAAACCUCGUCGAGGUCGUCAGGUGGUGACCUAAGCCUUGGCGGGCCUCAUGGGUGGGUGCAGGCCUCCGACCCCCAACUCCAGGGAAAGUUAAGUCAGAAUUUCAUACAAUUCUUCCUUUUUUUUUAAACUCUAAAAUUGAUUUAUGAAUAAAUUUAUGAUAGAGAACGAUAUCCAAGUAUGUUGUGGCCUUUAAUUCAGUUGCACAAGUUCACAUCAUCAUCAUCAUCAAGUUUGCGUGUUUGUGGCCCAACAACGUCCAGGCUUACGUAAGCCCCCCGACGGACGGACAAAAAAAAAAAAAAAAGCCCAAACACAUUUUUAAUACGCUGCUGCUGCUGCUGCU
This is a long non-coding RNA of Hippocampus zosterae (dwarf seahorse), 520 nucleotides long. RefSeq lists it as uncharacterized. NCBI's taxonomy places the organism in Eukaryota, Metazoa, Chordata, Actinopteri, Syngnathiformes, Syngnathidae. The transcript has 2 exons. The record is from RefSeq and is a predicted model, not a curated record.